Molecule: ribosomal RNA, 482 nt
Filed under: uncultured bacterium
Lineage: Bacteria
Description: bacterial SSU rRNA
Rfam family: Bacterial small subunit ribosomal RNA
Source: RNAcentral
AACGCUGGCGGCAUGCCUUACACAUGCAAGUCGAACGGCAGCACGGGUGCUUGCACCUGGUGGCGAGUGGCGGACGGGUGAGUAAUACAUCGGAACGUAUCCAGAAGAGGGGGAUAACGCAUCGAAAGAUGUGCUAAUACCGCAUAUUCUCUGAGGAGGAAAGCAGGGGAUCGAAAGACCUUGCGCUUUGGGAGCGGCCGAUGUCUGAUUAGCUAGUUGGUGGGGUAAAGGCCUACCAAGGCGACGAUCAGUAGUUGGUCUGAGAGGACGACCAGCCACACUGGGACUGAGACACGGCCCAGACUCCUACGGGAGGCAGCAGUGGGGAAUUUUGGACAAUGGGCGCAAGCCUGAUCCAGCAAUGCCGCGUGAGUGAAGAAGGCCUUCGGGUUGUAAAGCUCUUUCAGUCGAGAAGAAAAAGCUGCAGUGAAUAACUGUAGUUCAUGACGGUAUCGACAGAAGAAGCACCGGCUAACUACGUG